GAGGGUAUAGCUCAAGUGGUAGAGUGUGUGCUUAGCAUGCACAAGGUCCUGGGUUCAAUUCCCAGUACCUCA
RNAcentral lists this transfer RNA (72 nucleotides) under Camelus bactrianus (Bactrian camel). It matches the Rfam family "tRNA". Rfam says of the family: Transfer RNA (tRNA) molecules are approximately 80 nucleotides in length. RNAcentral also lists the same sequence under 2 other names. Lineage: Eukaryota; Metazoa; Chordata; Mammalia; Artiodactyla; Camelidae. The record is from Rfam by way of RNAcentral.